This 495-nucleotide ribosomal RNA is filed under the name uncultured bacterium. RNAcentral describes it as "partial 16S ribosomal RNA". It matches the Rfam family "Bacterial small subunit ribosomal RNA", at positions 30 to 507 of the family's 1533-position model. The record is from RNAcentral.
UGAACGCUGGCGGCGUGCCUAAUACAUGCAAGUCGAGCGAACAGACGCGGAGCUUGCUCCUCUGACGUUAGCGGCGGACGGGUGAGUAACACGUGGAUAACCUACCUAUAAGACUGGGAUAACUUCGGGAAACCGGAGCUAAUACCGGAUAAUAUAUUGAACCGCAUGGUUCAAUAGUGAAAGACGGUUUUGCUGUCACUUAUAGAUUGAUCCGCGCCGCAUUAGCUAGUUGGUAAGGUAACGGCUUACCAAGGCAACGAUGCGUAGCCGACCUGAGAGGGUGAUCGGCCACACUGGAACUGAGACACGGUCCAGACUCCUACGGGAGGCAGCAGUAGGGAAUCUUCCGCAAUGGGCGAAAGCUUGACGGAGCAACGCCGCGUGAGUGAUGAAGGUCUUCGGAUCGUAAAACUCUGUUAUUAGGGAAGAACAAAUGUGUAAGUAACUAUGCACGUCUUGACGGUACCUAAUCAGAAAGCCACGGCUAACUACGUG